CCUACGGGUGGCAGCAGUGAGGAAUAUUGGUCAAUGGCCGAGAGGCUGAACCAGCCAAGCCGCGUGAGGGAAGACGGCUCUACGGGUUGUAAACCUCUUUUGUCGGGGAGCAAAGCGAACCACGUGUGGCUCAUUGAGAGUACCCGAAGAAAAAGCAUCGGCUAACUCCGUGCCAGCAGCCGCGGUAAUACGGAGGAUGCGAGGGUUAUCCGGAUUUAUUGGGUUAAAGGGGUGCGCAGGCGGAGGUGCAAGUCAGCGGUCAAAUUGCGGGGCUCAACCCCGGACUGCCGUUGAAACUGCGACCCUUGAGUGCGCGAGAAGUAUGCGGAAUGCGUGGUGUAGCGGUGAAAUGCAUAGAUAUCGCGCAGAACUCCGAUUGCGAAGGCAGCAUACCGGCGCGCAACUGACGCUGAGGCACGAAAGCGUGGGUAUCGAACAGGAUUAGAUACCCGGGUAGUC
Molecule: ribosomal RNA, 459 nt
Filed under: uncultured bacterium
Lineage: Bacteria
Description: partial 16S ribosomal RNA
Rfam family: Bacterial small subunit ribosomal RNA
Source: RNAcentral